This 1544-nucleotide ribosomal RNA is filed under the name uncultured fungus. Its description in RNAcentral is "eukaryotic LSU rRNA". The stretch from base 567 to 1544 matches the Rfam family "Eukaryotic large subunit ribosomal RNA", at positions 1 to 980 of the family's 3401-position model. The record is from RNAcentral. Lineage: Eukaryota; Fungi.
GGAAGGAUCAUUACAGGAAUACUGGAGUAGUGCUGGCUUUGCAGGUGCACACUCUCUUUUCCAUCCCACAUACCCCUGUGCACCUUUGAUGUCCGAGUCGCUGUCUUGAUUUGAUGGCAAAAGGGCAUGCUCUUUAUACAAUCUUUUUGAUAAUGAUGAAUGUUGUCCCAUAAUUAGUAUAACUAUCAACAACGGAUCUCUUGGCAUUCCACUCGAUGAAGAACGCAGCGAAUUGCGAUAAGUAAUGUGAAUUGCAGAACACAGUGAAUCAUCGAAUCUUUGAACGCACCUUGCACUCUUCAGUUCUCUGAAGAGUAUACUCGGUUGAGUGUUAUGAAUAUCUUCAAACCCACCAUUUAUUUUUGAGGGGUUCUGAGACUUGCAUGCUUGUUGGCUUGAUUGGCCAACUCAUGUGAAAUGCAUUAGCUGGGUCCUCUGUGAGGGAUUACAAUGCCUUCUUGAUCAACAGUGUUAUAAGUUUUCUUUCAUUGUUACAAGUUGUGUUCACUAUUCCUCCUCUUGAUCUGCUUCUAACUGUCAUGAACUUGACUCACACUCUACACAUUUUGCCUCAACUCGAGUAGGAUUACCCACUGAACUUAAGCAUAUCAAUAAGUGGAGGAAAAGAAACUAACAAGGAUUCCCUUAGUAACGGCGAGUGAAGCGGGAAGAGCUCAAAUUUGAAAUCUGGCAGUCUUUGGCUGUCCGAGUUGUCAUCUAGAGAAGUGUAUUCCGUGCCAGACCUACCAUAAGUUAUCUUGAAUGAUACAUCAGAGAGGGUGACAAUCCCGUUCUUGGAUAGGACUGCUGGUGCUCUGAGAUUCACUCUCAACGAGUCGAGUUGUUUGGGAAUGCAGCUCAAAAUGGGAGGUAAAUUCCUUCUAAAGCUAAAUACAUUGGAAUGACCGAUAGCGAACAAGUACCGUGAGGGAAAGAUGAAAAGCACUUUGGAAAGAGAGUCAAACAGUACGUGAAAUUGUUGGUAGGGAAACACUUGAAGUCAGUCUUGUCUUCUGGGACUCAGCCUUGCUUCUGUGAGGUGUAUUUCCUAGUUUGAUGGGCCAGCGUCCAUGUUGACUGUUGGAAAAGGGCAGAGUGAAUGUGGCAGUCUCCGGACUGUGUUAUAGCUCUCUGUCACAUACAGGCAGUUGAUAUGGAUCAAACAGCAUGCCUUUUUGGUGGUGCUUGUGUUGGCAUAAUGGCUUUAAAUGACCCGUCUUGAAACACGGACCAAGGAGUCUAUCUUACCUGCAACUCUUUGGGUGGAAAACCCAUGGGCAUAAUGAAAGUGAUAGUUGGGAAUCUGGUUCUACUGGAGGCACCAACACCCGCCGCAGAGGUUUACCAAUGCUGGCGAGGUAGAGCAUGUAGGAUGGGACCCGAAAGAUGGUGAACUAUGCCUGCAUAGGGUAAAGCCAGGGGAAACUCUGGUGGAGGCUCGUAGCGAUUCUGACGUGCAAAUCGAUCGUCAAAUGUGGGUAUAGGGGCGAAAGACUAAUCGAACCAUCUAAUGGCUGGUUCCUGCCGAAGUUUCCCUCACGAUA